GACGAACGCUGGCGGCGUGCUUAACACAUGCAAGUCGAACGGAAAGGCCCUGCUUUUGUGGGGUGCUCGAGUGGCGAACGGGUGAGUAACACGUGAGUAACCUGCCCUUGACUUUGGGAUAACUUCAGGAAACUGGGGCUAAUACCGGAUAGGAGCUCCUGAUGCAUGGUGGGGGUUGGAAAGUUUCGGCGGUUGGGGAUGGACUCGCGGCUUAUCAGCUUGUUGGUGGGGUAGUGGCUUACCAAGGCUUUGACGGGUAGCCGGCCUGAGAGGGUGACCGGGCACAUUGGGACUGAGAUACGGCCCAGACUCCUACGGGAGGCAGCAGUGGGGAAUAUUGCACAAUGGGCGGAAGCCUGAUGCAGCAACGCCGCGUGCGGGAUGACGGCCUUCGGGUUGUAAACCGCUUUCGCCUGUGACGAAGCGUGAGUGACGGUAAUGGGUAAAGAAGCACCGGCUAACUACGUG
RNAcentral lists this ribosomal RNA (468 nucleotides) under uncultured bacterium. RNAcentral describes it as "partial 16S ribosomal RNA". It matches the Rfam family "Bacterial small subunit ribosomal RNA", at positions 28 to 507 of the family's 1533-position model. The record is from RNAcentral.